CCUACGGGAGGCUGCAGUGGGGAAUCUUGCGCAAUGCGCGAAAGCGUGACGCAGCAACACCGCGUGAGGGAAGACGGCCUUCGGGUUGUAAACCUCUUUCAGGAGGGACGAAGGGCGACCGGUGAACAGCCGUGUCGUCUGACGGUACCUCCAGAAGAAGCACCGGCUAACUACGUGCCAGCAGCCGCGGUAAUACGUAGGGUGCAAGCGUUGUCCGGAAUCAUUGGGCGUAAAGCGCGCGUAGGCGGCCCGAUAAGUCCGCUGUAAAAGUCAACGGCUCAACUGUUGAAAGCCGGUGGAUACUGUCGGGCUAGAGUACGGAAGAGGCAAGUGGAAUUCCUGGUGUAGCGGUGGAAUGCGCAGAUAUCAGGAGGAACACCUAUAGCGAAGGCAGCUUGCUGGGACGUUACUGACGCUAAGGCGCGAAAGCGUGGGGAGCGAACAGGAUUAGAUACCCCAGUAGUC
Molecule: ribosomal RNA, 465 nt
Filed under: uncultured Conexibacter sp.
Lineage: Bacteria; Bacillati; Actinomycetota; Thermoleophilia; Solirubrobacterales; Conexibacteraceae
Description: bacterial SSU rRNA
Rfam family: Bacterial small subunit ribosomal RNA
Source: RNAcentral